AGAGACGAGCGGCGGACGGGUGAGUAAUACUUGGGGAUCUGCCUGAUGGCGGGGGACAACCACUGGAAACGGUGGCUAAUACCGCAUAAUGCCUACGGGCCAAAGUGUGGGACCUUCGGGCCACAUGCCAUCAGAUGAACCCAAGCGAGAUUAGCUAGUUGGUGAGGUAAUGGCUCACCAAGGCGACGAUCUCUAGCUGUUCUGAGAGGAUGAUCAGCCACACUGGGACUGAGACACGGCCCAGACUCCUACGGGAGGCAGCAGUGGGGAAUAUUGGACAAUGGGCGCAAGCCUGAUCCAGCCAUGCCGCGUGUGUGAAGGAGGCCUUCGGGUUGUAAAGCACCUUUCAGUGGUGAGGAAGGCGUUGUAGUUAAUAGCUGCAACGAUUGACGUUAGCCACAGAAGAAGCACCGGCUAACUCCGUGCCAGCAGCCGCGGUAAUACGGGAGGGUGCGAGCGUUAAUCGGAAUUACUUGGGCGUAAAGCGCACGUAGGCGGCUUGUUAAGCGAGAUGUGAAAGCCCAGGGCUCAACCUUGGAAUUGCAUUUUGAACUGGCAGCUAGAGUUUUGAAGAGGGUGGGUAGAAUUUCCAGGGUAGCGGUGAAAUGCGUAGAUUUUGGGAAGGAAUACCAGUGGGCGAAGGCGGCCACCUGGUCAAAAACUGACGCUGA
RNAcentral lists this ribosomal RNA (671 nucleotides) under uncultured bacterium. Its description in RNAcentral is "bacterial SSU rRNA". It matches the Rfam family "Bacterial small subunit ribosomal RNA", at positions 87 to 749 of the family's 1533-position model. The record is from RNAcentral.